GGAUGUGAGGGCGAUCUGGCUGCGACAUCUGUCACCCCAUUGAUCGCCAGGGUUGAUUCGGCUGAUCUGGCUGGCUAGGCGGGUGUCCCCUUCCUCCCUCACCGCUCCAUGUGCGUCCCUCCCGAAGCUGCGCGCUCGGUCGAAGAGGACGACCAUCCCCGAUAGAGGAGGACCGUUCUUCGGUCAAGGGUAUACGAGUAGCUGCGCUCCCCUGCUAGAACCUCCAAACAAGCUCUCAAGAGUAUGGAUUUCAGCAGGGUGCUGGUGGCCCAUGUCUAUAAUCCUAGCUAUUUAGGAGGCAGAGAU
This 306-nucleotide small nuclear RNA is filed under the name Castor canadensis (American beaver). RNAcentral describes it as "7SK RNA (ENSCCNG00000015462.1)". It matches the Rfam family "7SK RNA". From Rfam's summary of the family: 7SK was discovered as an abundant small nuclear RNA in the mid-70s but a possible function has only recently been suggested. Two independent studies have found that 7SK RNA binds the CDK9/cyclin T complex (known as elongation factor P-TEFb). Lineage: Eukaryota; Metazoa; Chordata; Mammalia; Rodentia; Castoridae. The record is from Rfam by way of RNAcentral.